GCCCUUCUGUGUGCCUUAUUCUGUGGCUGAAGUGUGAUUAAGUGCCUGACAAAGAUACCGAACUGAGCAAAGAUAAGGACUAACAAAAUGCACAUCAGUGAUUGGGGUAGUCCAACUCUGUCAGUUUAGUAUAUAUACUACUCUAUACGGACAAAUCUAACCGAUAACGCAAGCGAAGUAAGGGCAACUGAACGUCAGCACAUAUACGAUUUAUUUAUGUACAAAUCUAGUCGAUAAUGUAAGCGAAGUAAAGACAAACAUAUGAACAACUGCUGAAGUGCCCGACAAAGAUACCAAAGACAAAAGAUAAGGGAUACAGAAGACAUUGGACAUGAUUGUGUUGGUCCAACUCUGUUAUAUAGUUUAGGAUAUAAACGAUUUAUUUAUGUACAAAUCUAGUCGAUAAUGUAAGCGAAGUAAAGACAAACAUAUGAACAACUGCUGAAGUGGCCGACAAAGAUACCAAAGACAAAAGAUAAGGGAUACUGAAGACAUUGGACAUGAUUGUGUUGGUCCAACUCUAUUAUAUAGUUUAGGAUAUAAACGAUUUAUUUAUGUACAAAUCUAGUCAAUAAUGUAAGCGAAGUAAAGACAAACACAUGAACAACCGCUGAAGUGUGAAGUGUCCGACAAAGAUACCGAACUGACCAACGAUAAAGGCAAAGACGUUGCACAUGAUUGCGGUUGUCCAAUUCCUUCAGUUGUGAACAUUAAUCUAACUUGACAUACGCGCAAUCCAAAUAUAAAGCCAAUCACAAGGACAAGAGCAGAAGUGUCUGGCAAAGAUAAGACGAAAUCAUUGUACAUAAAUCACUGCGGUUGUCCAACUCAAGAUUAUCAUUCAUUUGCCUAAAUUACAAUAACUAUCAAUUUUAGAAAUCUCGGUUCUUUACUCAGCUGUUUGAAAAAUGUUGAUCACGAAAUGUAAAUUAUGCAGAAAAGAUUAUAUGUUGCCGCCGUGGUUUGUAUCAUUGGCAAAACUACAUUUACAGAUAAAAAAAGCCUACGUUUCGAGAGAAAGCCCUCAUUCAACAGGCGUUAUUGGGCCUUGGCGCGAAAUGCUGACCCCAAUAAAAAAGGUUAUGACUUAUACAAUGCCGCAUUUUGUCUCCAACAUGAUAUUUAUGGUUUAUCUCAAACGUGAUGUCCAUUGUAGGAAAUUGUAGGUAGUACAAUAUGCGGCCUUGGUUUUGGCAGAAACUAUUUGAGAAAGGAAAGGCUUGGACCGUUGGACUUGGACGUUUGGAUGAUGAGAGGGUCUUCAAUAGUUCAAUUCGCUGGCAAACGCGUAGACGUAUUUUUAAUCUUUGUCAUACAGGUCUUAUCAAAACAACCGUUGUGACGAUUUGUGUAUACAUGUCGAGAAAUGUCGAGUUGUUUCCUCUAGCUACGACUACGUCUUUUCAUGUAAAAUUGAUUUCGUAACGACAGUGUUUGCUUUGUGUGAUAUAUGUCGGCGUUUGUUGACUCGAUACUGAACGGCUGGAUGUGACGAGCACAGAAGCCUCACAAAAUAACCGACCCACACGAAGAAUAGUCCAGAAAACUUUGAUUACUUUUUUUCAAUACGCCUUCAUGAGUUGUCUCUGAAUUACCUAAAAAAUAUUUUUAGGCAAACAUUUUGUUAUCAUUAGCAUAUGACGUCAGACAUGUCAUUUGGCACCAUUUUCGUUGAUUCUAAACAAUCUACCGUGUUAGGGAAAUUUUUACGGUUUCUGCCUGGCUUAGAUACGAGCAGGAUUCGGGAAAAUACAUAGUUUGAAGUUGCGACCAAAGUUGCCAUAUGUGUUUUUAUACUGAAACAAGACGGCAUCAAUUGCAUACGAUCAAUAUAUGCAAUCUCA
Molecule: non-coding RNA, 1844 nt
Organism: Paramuricea clavata
Lineage: Eukaryota; Metazoa; Cnidaria; Anthozoa; Malacalcyonacea; Plexauridae
Source: the annotation of a GenBank genome assembly